UACGUAGGGUCCAAGCGUUAAUCGGAAUUACUGGGUGUAAAGCGUGAGUAGGCGGUUUCGCAAGUCCGAUGUGAAAUCCCCGGGCUUAACCUGGGAACUGCGUUGGAAACUACGAAGCUAGAGUGCGGCAGAGGGGGGUGGAAUUCCAGGUGUAGCAGUGAAAUGCGUAGAGAUCUGGAGGAACACCGAUGGCGAAGGCAGCCCCCUGGGUUAGCACUGACGCUCAUACACGAAAGCGUGGGGAGCAAACAGG
This 253-nucleotide ribosomal RNA is filed under the name uncultured bacterium. Its description in RNAcentral is "partial 16S ribosomal RNA". It matches the Rfam family "Bacterial small subunit ribosomal RNA", at positions 524 to 776 of the family's 1533-position model. The record is from RNAcentral.